UACGGAGGAUGCGAGCGUUAUCCGGAUUUAUUGGGUUUAAAGGGUGCGUAGGCGGCUUAGUAAGUCAGCGGUGAAAUUUUGCAGCUUAACUGUAACAGUGCCGUUGAUACUGCCAGGAUAGGAUUUGGUUGCUGUGGGUGGAAUGUGUGGUGUAGCGGUGAAAUGCUUAGAUAUCACACAGAAUAUCGAUUGCGAAGGCAGCUCACAAAGCCAAGAUUGACGCUGAGGCACGAAAGUGUGGGGAUCAAACA
Molecule: ribosomal RNA, 251 nt
Filed under: uncultured prokaryote
Description: partial 16S ribosomal RNA
Rfam family: Bacterial small subunit ribosomal RNA
Source: RNAcentral